This 282-nucleotide unclassified non-coding RNA is filed under the name plant metagenome. RNAcentral describes it as "partial contains small subunit ribosomal RNA, internal transcribed spacer 1, and 5.8S ribosomal RNA". The record is from RNAcentral.
UUUCCGUAGGUGAACCUGCGGAAGGAUCAUUGUCGAAACCUGCCCAGCAGAACGACCCGCGAACUUGUAUAAACAACCGGGGGCGGGGGGCGUUCUCGCCCCGUGCCCCCGAACGGCGGGGAGACACUCGUGCCUUCUUGCCGAACAACGAACCCCGGCGCGGUCUGCGCCAAGGAACUUCAACUAAAGAGUGCCUCCGGUCGCCUCGGAAACGGCGUGCGUGCCGGGGGUGAAUCUUGUGCAAAACCAUAACGACUCUCGGCAACGGAUAUCUCGGCUCUC